RNAcentral lists this non-coding RNA (31 nucleotides) under Mus musculus (house mouse). The record is from RNAcentral. Lineage: Eukaryota; Metazoa; Chordata; Mammalia; Rodentia; Muridae.
UGUUGACUAUAAUAUAGUACUGCCUUUCUAA